RNAcentral lists this ribosomal RNA (424 nucleotides) under uncultured prokaryote. RNAcentral's name for it is "bacterial SSU rRNA". It matches the Rfam family "Bacterial small subunit ribosomal RNA", at positions 355 to 796 of the family's 1533-position model. The record is from RNAcentral.
CAAGGAAUUUUCCCCAAUGGGCGCAAGCCUGAGGGAGCAACGCCGCGUGCAGGACGACGGCCUUCGGGUUGUAAACUGCUUUUGCGUGGGACGAUAACGACGGUACCACGCGAAUCAGCCCCGGCUAACUCUGUGCCAGCAGCCGCGGUAAUACAGAGGGUGCAAACGUUGCUCGGAAUGACUGGGCGUAAAGCGCGCGCAGGUGGCCCGUUAAGUCGGCUGUGAAAUCCCCUGGCUCAACCAGGGAAGUGCAGUCGAUACUGGCGGGCUCGAGUCCCGGAGAGGGUGGUAGAAUUCCCAGUGUAGAGGUGAAAUUCGUAGAUAUUGGGAGGAAUACCGGUGGCGAAGGCGACCGCCUGGACGGGUACUGACACUGAGGCGCGAAAGCGUGGGGAGCAAACAGGAUUAGAUACCCCUGUAGUCC